Molecule: ribosomal RNA, 332 nt
Filed under: uncultured soil bacterium
Lineage: Bacteria
Description: bacterial SSU rRNA
Rfam family: Bacterial small subunit ribosomal RNA
Source: RNAcentral
AGAAUCAACGCUGGCGGCGUGCCUCAGACAUGCAAGUCGAACGCGAAAGGCUCCUUCGGGGGCCGAGUAGAGUGGCGCACGGGUGAGUAACACGUAGGUAAUUUGCCUUUGGGUGGGAAUAACUCAGGGAAACUUGAGCUAAUACCGCAUAAUGCAGCGGCUCGACAUCGAGACAGUUGUUAAAGGCGGGGGAUCGCAAGACCUCGCGACCUAAAGAGAAGCCUAGGCGGCGAGUACUUAGGCGUUAGGUUGGGUAAGGGUAAUCGGACCUUACCGAAGGCGAACGAUUCCUAGGUAACCCGGCCUAGGAGGAGGGCCGGUCGGUCCACACU